GCUAACCAUGCAAGUCGAACGCUCACCUUCGGGUGGGAGUGGCAGACGGGUGAGUAACACGUGGGAACGUACCCUUUGGUUCGGGACAACUCUGGGAAACUGGAGCUAAUACCGGAUACGCCCUUUUGGGGAAAGGUUUACUGCCGAAGGAUCGGCCCGCGUCUGAUUAGCUAGUUGGUGGGGUAACGGCCUACCAAGGCGACGAUCAGUAGCUGGUCUGAGAGGAUGAUCAGCCACACUGGGACUGAGACACGGCCCAGACUCCUACGGGAGGCAGCAGUGGGGAAUAUUGGACAAUGGGCGCAAGCCUGAUCCAGCCAUGCCGCGUGAGUGAUGAAGGCCUUAGGGUUGUAAAGCUCUUUUAUCCGGGACGAUAAUGACGGUACCGGAGGAAUAAGCCCCGGCUAACUUCGUGCCAGCAGCCGCGGUAAUACGAAGGGGGCUAGCGUUGCUCGGAAUCACUGGGCGUAAAGGGCGCGUAGGCGGCGUUUUAAGUCGGGGGUGAAAGCCUGUGGCUCAACCACAGAAUGGCCUUCGAUACUGGGACGCUUGAGUCUGGUAGAGGUUGGUGGAACUGCGAGUGUAGAGGUGAAAUUCGUAGAUAUUCGCAAGAACACCGGUGGCGAAGGCGGCCAACUGGACCGGCACUGACGCUGAG
Molecule: ribosomal RNA, 658 nt
Filed under: uncultured bacterium
Lineage: Bacteria
Description: bacterial SSU rRNA
Rfam family: Bacterial small subunit ribosomal RNA
Source: RNAcentral